RNAcentral lists this ribosomal RNA (445 nucleotides) under uncultured bacterium. Its description in RNAcentral is "bacterial SSU rRNA". It matches the Rfam family "Bacterial small subunit ribosomal RNA", at positions 65 to 507 of the family's 1533-position model. The record is from RNAcentral.
AACGGCAGCACGGGAGCAAUCCUUGGUGGCGAGUGGCGAACGGUGAGUAAUAUAUGGAACGUGCCAGUCGUGGGGGAUAACGUAGCGAAAGUUACGCUAAUACCGCAUACGAUCUAAGGAUGAAAGCGGGGGAUCGCAAGACCUCGCGCGAUUGGAGCGGCCGAUAUCAGAUUAGGUAGUUGGUGAGGUAAAGGCUCACCAAGCCAACGAUCUGUAGCUGGUCUGAGAGGACGACCAGCCACACUGGAACUGAGACACGGUCCAGACUCCUACGGGAGGCAGCAGUGGGGAAUUUUGGACAAUGGACGCAAGUCUGAUCCAGCCAUUCCGCGUGCAGGAUGAGGGCCCUCGGGUUGUAAACUGCUUUUGUACGGAACGAAAAGGUUUCUAUUAAUACUAGGAGCUCAUGACGGUACCGUAAGAAUAAGCACCGGCUAACUACGUG